RNAcentral lists this ribosomal RNA (253 nucleotides) under uncultured bacterium. Its description in RNAcentral is "partial 16S ribosomal RNA". It matches the Rfam family "Bacterial small subunit ribosomal RNA", at positions 524 to 776 of the family's 1533-position model. The record is from RNAcentral.
UACGGGGGGGGCAAGCGUUGUUCGGAAUUACUGGGCGUAAAGCGUGCGCAGGCGGUUUUGUAAGUCAGAUGUGAAAUCCCCGGGCUUAACCUGGGAACUGCGUUUGAAACUACAAGGCUAGAGUGUAGCAGAGGGGGGUGGAAUUCCACGUGUAGCAGUGAAAUGCGUAGAGAUGUGGAGGAACACCGAUGGUGAAGGCAGCCCCCUGGGCUAACACUGACGCUCAGGCACGAAAGCGUGGGGAGCAAACAGG